GAAUAAAUUUAAUGCUGGGUUGGCAUAAGGUGGUACCAUGUAACAUUUUAACCCAUAGUACGAUCCAUGCCGACUCAGUAAUAAAUUACAAU
This 92-nucleotide microRNA precursor is filed under the name Tribolium castaneum (red flour beetle). RNAcentral's name for it is "microRNA tca-mir-3851l precursor (tca-mir-3851l-2)". The record is from miRBase by way of RNAcentral. Lineage: Eukaryota; Metazoa; Arthropoda; Insecta; Coleoptera; Tenebrionidae.